UUUUUUUUUUUUUUUUUUUUUUUUUUUCUUUUUUCAGGCUGUGUAUUUCAUCGCAAGCUGUUAACAGUGCUUGGUAGAUAAUGUUCAGAGUAAGAGCUCGGGUACUGCCGGAGUACCAGCUACCAGUUAUGGAAACAGCGCUUGCUUAGCUAGUAUUCGGUUGACUCAAAAGUCGUAUAUCACUUAGGUGGAGGUCACUUAUUUGGCAUUCUCAGGUCCCGAAUAUUUAGCAUGUGAGUGACAGAGAACCAGCAGGGGGGGUGUGUGUGUGUUGGGGGGGAGGGCAGCAAAAUCAAGCUUCAGAAGCCAGUCGGGUAUGGGAAGUCGCUUCUGCCCUUGACUCACGAUGGUCCUUUCAGGCCCACACUAGAGCUCCAUCAUUCUCCCUGUAGGUAUGGCCCUGACCACCUCGUCUCCCGUUUUCAACAAGAAAACUGAGAGCAGCAAGAGAGAAUGUCAGGCAUGAGCGGGGAAGAGUCCCACGGCGUGGCUGUUUCCCCCCGGGGACCCCGGGCUAAGAGAGCCGAGGAGCCUUCCGUGUUACUGCUUAUGACUGCAUGUGGGUCCACACGCCCGCAGUACAGAUUUCAGCUAAAAAAACCCCAGCAUGGCCGACUGCGGCCUUGUGGCGCGGGAGCAGGGCCGAACGGGGAGGCUGGCACGGUCGUUUGCGAAGGCACCUUGUGUAAUAGUUGUUCAUUGUAGUGACCCUGAGUCAUCGCCCAAAAAGGUUAGAUUAAUCAUAUGUUGAUUCACCAGGCUCUGCUUCAGAGAUGGGGAAGUUUGAGAGAUACUUUAGAAUGAUUUAGACGCAGGAGUUUUACAUGGAAAAUUAACUUCUCCAUGCUUCCCACCCGCACCCCCCCCCCGUGAUGUGCAGCUGCUUAGUGGGUUAACCUGAUGUGUCAAAUCAACCUUCCCGUGUGUCCAGAUACCAAAAUAUGAUUUAUUUUCACCAGAUUUGCAGGGAAAAAAAGUGAUUCACGAACAGAUUCAAACGAUGUUUCAAUACCAUUACUGGCUUGUUCCUCUGCGUUCCUAAUGUGAAUUGCCAUGUUUUUAGUCGAAAUAAUACACAAAAAUUGGAGUUUUUAAAGUAGGGAUCAGAGAGGACCCUCUGGUGGAUACCAGGGAAGUCAUGUAUACCCUGGCAGACAGAGCCGCUAAAGAAAAGGCGUUUCGGGAGUUCCCGCUGUGGGGCACGGGUCAAGAAUCUGACCGCAGCAGCUUAGGUCGCUGUGGAGGCAUGGGUUCGAUCCCUGGCCUGGGAAUUUCCAUAUGCCAGGGGUGCAGCCAUUAAAAAAAAACAAAAAGUAAAAUUAAAGAAAAGGAGUUUCAAGUGUGAAGGAAGCCUCAAAACGUAAAUAUUAAAAUUUAAUUGUAAGUCAUCAAAUGAGAAGAGUAAAAGGAAGGAGUGGUUCCUCCGCCGACCCCCCCAAGCCCCAACUAUAGGCUUGUUCUGAGAACCGUGGGAUUUAGAGCUGGAAGCGACUUUAGAGGUCGCUUGGCCUGCUCUUAUGAGUUUGCCUUUAUUUUACUCAGUAUUCUUCCACAGUUCAUGUCUGUGCCCAGAAUUGAACAUGUCACCUGGAGUCGUGUCUGCAUAGCUUCUCUGGCAGGAGGACUAAUCCUAAUUAAAUGUGCUCACUUGGCAGAGAUGAUUAUGUAUUUUUUAGGUUCCUUGUUAAUUUUAUUCUCAGAAGCUCCGUUUUGCGGAUGGAGACCCCUGUGGCACUCCAUGGCGAGGCACCAGAACUCUUUCUUGGCAUUGUGACGUGUUUUUGGACACUUCGUGGUAAUCCCAGAAUUGAAAACUCCCCAGGACAGCUGGUACCUGCUAAUAGUUCUCAGGCAUUUCGAUUUUAUCUGCUUAACUAUAGAGCAUUGCUGGGCCUAAGUUUUAAUAAUCAUACUCACAGAUGUAUUUCAUUUCAUUUUAUGUUACUUUAUUGGCCACGCCUGUGGCAUAUGGAAGUUCUGGGGCCAGGGGUCAAACCUUUAAUCCCCCAAAAUGGUUGGUGUGGCCUUUUCUGCUUGGUUUUGGGUUUUGGCUUUUUACUAAGAGAAAUUGCUUCUUUUGAAGAGGUAAUUAAUUUUGAAAUUUGGUCUUCUGGGUGUCCAUGGAAACGAUUCCCUGAUUGCCAUGCUGAAGGUGGAAGUAUUCUCUUAAGGUUAAGAAGUUGGUGGCCCUGUCAGCAAAAGGAAAUGGAUCUGAACUACACAUGAGAAAUAAGAACCAGUGCUCUGGAUGUUAGAUACUCACAGCCGAUGGAAAAGUAACGCAAACCAUUACUUCCCAGCAAGCAAGGAGCGAGUCUCGUGCUGACUCUUUGGGGUGUGGAUGGCGAAGGGAGGUCUGCGGGGUGCAAGAGCUCGUGUGUCCUGUGGGAGAGCCGGUGGGGCUGCCCCAGCGCCGUCCGCCGGUCGAGAUGAUGUGCCUAGAGCAUCCGCUGGGUAGGCCGGCUGCAGGGACACCUGUUGAGGUGGGGAUGGCGGGGUUGGAGGUGCAGGGAAGGAAGCAUCCAGGCAGGGAUUUGAGCAGCUGCUGGCUGCCCAGAGCUCAGCCUCCGUGAAUCAGAGGCACAGGGAGCUCAUCCGUGGGCUUGGAGGCCGGCAGGGAGGAAGCAAGGGAGCCCGCUUUCAGUCAGGACCCUGAUGCCCCCAGAGUCCUGGAAAGGCAGGCCAGAAGUUGGUGGGGCAGUUACGAGCAUCUCGGUCCAUAGCGUCCGUGGUUUGGGGGAACGCUUUUCCCCCUUCGGGUAAUCCUGAUCUCGCAUUUGAAGUAAGUGCCCUGGGUCUGCUUUAAAAGGCGACUAAAAAGGCUUUUACGGGACAUGGCUUAUUUAUAAAGGGGGUCAUCGAGAAUUUAGUCAAUUGAUUUAAGGUUGUCGGAGGAGUGAAGCGUUACGUGAUCGCUGGUCCUAUCCAGGAUUUCACAAUUUCAAGGAAAAGUGGACAAUGCCUGCUUGUCUCCCAGGGAUUGGGGCAGUCCCACGGUCUGCACACCAGCCCCCGGAGCAGCCGGGCUCCGGCCGUCUCUAUCCCUUGGCGAGAGUGAGUCUCGGCAUGCGUGGGAUGUGCUGGCCUGGGAGUCACUUAGCCGAGAACUGGUUUGGGUCAUAGCCUCAGGUCUGCAUCGAAGCUGCACAUCAUGGGGCUGGGACAUUUGCAUGGCCUGGCGGAGUAGCUUGGGUGCACGUCGGAGGAGGCGGCAGGAGUCGAGUGCGAGGGGAGCAGCUUUGCCCACAAGCACGCUGCAGUCCUGCACCUAGACGGUGGCCGUGACUGUGGGGGGUGGCCCGGAGGAGAGAGCUGCCCUGCGAUGCUCACACAUAAACCCGGGACACGUGGACAGUCUAUAGGAAGGAGUCUGCAGCCACAAACCUCUUUGGGUGUCUGUGAUGGAAGGGGACUUUUGGCUCUGUGAAGCGUCAUGUUUAUAAACGCCCGCCCGGUGCUUCACUUACAGCUCGAUUCUCUCAUUAUGAGUGUGAUGAUGGCAGAAAUAAACCGAGCGAGUUGGCCUGCAGAAAUCACAUGAGCUCGCUUUUCUGUGGCUUUCAUUUUCUAAAUGUGGAUGUUCCUAUUCUGUCUCUUGCAGAUGUACACACAGCAAGGCUGGUGUGCAGAUAAUUGCGAGCGAGCGAGCGUCAUACCGUCCUCUUGCUGAGUGACCGGGAAUUUUCAGGGGCCUUAUGGGAGAGCGCCAGCAGGAUAGCAGACCCCCUGUUACCCGACUGCGUGUCCUUCCUCUUCUCUCUGGUGUCCUGAGAGAAGGGCCCCGGUGUUAGCUCCUCAGUGGAAAGGUCACGCGUGACCCGCACGGGGGCUCCGUGGAGACUGCAUUUUCCUCCCCACUGUCUUCAAGGCAGUGUGAU
Molecule: long non-coding RNA, 3878 nt
Filed under: Sus scrofa (pig)
Lineage: Eukaryota; Metazoa; Chordata; Mammalia; Artiodactyla; Suidae
Description: lncRNA (ENSSSCG00005033168.1)
Source: RNAcentral